GGACUACACGGGUAUCUAAUCCCGUUCGCUCCCCUGGCUUUCGCGCCUCAGCGUCAGUUGAGGGCCAGCCGCGCGCUUUCGCCACCGGCGUUCCUUCCGAUAUCAACGCAUUUCACCGCUCCACCGGAAGUUCCCGCGGCCCCUACCUCACUCCAGACGAGCAGUCCCCGAGGCACUUUUCCGGUUAAGCCGAAAGAUUUCACCCCGGGCUUGCCCGCCCGCCUACGCGCCCUUUAAGCCCAGUGAUUCCGAACAACGUUCGCACGGUUCGUCUUACCGCGGCUGCUGGCAC
This 292-nucleotide ribosomal RNA is filed under the name uncultured Planctomycetota bacterium. RNAcentral describes it as "uncultured planctomycete partial 16S ribosomal RNA". Lineage: Bacteria; Pseudomonadati; Planctomycetota. The record is from RNAcentral.